This is a long non-coding RNA of Dreissena polymorpha, 750 nucleotides long. RefSeq lists it as uncharacterized. The record is from RefSeq and is a predicted model, not a curated record. The transcript has 4 exons. NCBI's taxonomy places the organism in Eukaryota, Metazoa, Mollusca, Bivalvia, Myida, Dreissenidae.
UUUUAGCCGCUCACGCCAACCCAUACCCCACCUUACUGAGUUAGCGGCAUCAAAAUUCAGAUCCCCCUCACAGUUCGGCUUAUCAUGUCUAUGUUUUUUGAAGGCAGAAUUAAAAAGAGCAUGGACCUUAGCCUGAACCAUCAACUUAUUGGUAUACAAGUCUGGAUGAAGUGACUCGUCACCACAGCCACUAUACUCGUCAACUACAUUAAACGCAUUCGGUCGGGGUCGCAACGCUGACACUGUUGUGUCCGUACCAUCAGUAUCUUUAAAGAUUGCACUGCAGAGAGUACCUGAGACAGUCUGGGAAGUACUGAACACUGGCCCAGAAGGAUUUCACACCUGCCCUGCAGGCUUUAGUGUCACAUCAGACUGUGUAUGAACACCCGGCAGAAUUAAAAAGAGCCUGGACCUUAGCCUGAACCAUCAACUUAUUGGUAUACAAGUCUGAAUGAAGUGACUCGUCACCACAGCCACUAUACUCGUCAACUACAUUAAACGCAUUCGGUCGGGGUCGCAACGCUGACACUGUUGUGUCCGUACCAUCAGUAUCUUUAAAGAUUGCACUGCAGAGAGUACCUGAGACAGUCUGGGAAGUACUGAACACUGGCCCAGAAGGAUUUCACACCUGCCCUGCAGGCUUUAGUGUCACAUCAGACUGUGUAUGAACACCCGGUAUUGACACUUUGGGGUCAGAUUUGUGUCUGUAGAUGCCAGAAGUGAAUGUCUGUUAAUGCAUAUGUAAAAAAA